RNAcentral lists this small RNA (552 nucleotides) under Pongo abelii (Sumatran orangutan). RNAcentral describes it as "processed transcript". Lineage: Eukaryota; Metazoa; Chordata; Mammalia; Primates; Hominidae. The record is from RNAcentral.
CAGGGAGACUUGAACACAAGCACUGCAGUAUCUCAAAAGCUGAUCUGCUCACCGAGGGGGCCCUUGAGCAUGGACAGCCUGGAUCUGCUGGAUUGGUUCUUGGGGAAAAGCUGUGUUUCAGAGACAAGAUUGAAGAACUUCACCUGCAUAUGAUGGAGGAUGAGAAUGGGAACCACAGGUGUCAUUGGUGGUUUUGUUUUACAAAGUCUUCACAUUUCUGCUGAGUCACGGGACUAAGUUCAACACAAUUUCUACUUUCCGCCUUCCUUUGGAAUAAUAGUUUUGGAAGCCAAGUAUUAGUAUAUGAUAUCAGGUGUGUUCUCUAAAGAUUCAGGUUCAGUGGGCUGAAUGCACUUUUGUGACUUCUUUAGACCACUGAGCCCAAGGAGAAAAGUGCCAAUCUUACUAGACAUGAGGAAAAAGACACAUCUUUUGCUCUUGCUGGAAGUGACUUUCUACAAGCAGUCAUCAUCUGGUUUAUACUUGACUUGUUCAGUUUUCAUGUGAUAUUUUAUUCUCUGCCUAAUAGAUAUUAAAGUAUCAAGGUGUCAA